Molecule: ribosomal RNA, 1811 nt
Filed under: Salmonella enterica
Lineage: Bacteria; Pseudomonadati; Pseudomonadota; Gammaproteobacteria; Enterobacterales; Enterobacteriaceae
Description: partial 23S ribosomal RNA
Rfam family: Bacterial large subunit ribosomal RNA
Source: RNAcentral
AAGAACCCCGGCGAGGGGAGUGAAAAAGAACCUGAAACCGUGUACGUACAAGCAGUGGGAGCCCCACCACUAAGCCAGUGGUGAACUCCACAUACGCAUCCUUUGCUGAGGAUACGGUUAACGGAGCGAAAGCGACGUUCAACCUCAAAAGAAGCAGAGGGGGCUUAGUGGUGGGGUGACUGCGUACCUUUUGUAUAAUGGGUCAGCGACUUAUAUUCUGUAGCAAGGUUAACCGUAUAGGGGAGCCGCAGGGAAACCGAGUCUUAACCGGGCGUUAAGUUGCAGGGUAUAGACCCGAAACCCGGUGAUCUAGCCAUGGGCAGGUUGAAGGUUGGGUAACACUAACUGGAGGACCGAACCGACUAAUGUUGAAAAAUUAGCGGAUGACCUGUGGCUGGGGGUGAAAGGCCAAUCAAACCGGGAGAUAGCUGGUUCUCCCCGAAAGCUAUUUAGGUAGCGCCUCGUGAACUCAUCUCCGGGGGUAGAGCACUGUUUCGGCUAGGGGGCCAUCCCGGCUUACCAACCCGAUGCAAACUGCGAAUACCGGAGAAUGUUAUCACGGGAGACACACGGCGGGUGCUAACGUCCGUCGUGAAGAGGGAAACAACCCAGACCGCCAGCUAAGGUCCCAAAGUCAUGGUUAAGUGGGAAACGAUGUGGGAAGGCCCAGACAGCCAGGAUGUUGGCUUAGAAGCAGCCAUCAUUUAAAGAAAGCGUAAUAGCUCACUGGUCGAGUCGGCCUGCGCGGAAGAUGUAACGGGGCUAAACCAUGCACCGAAGCUGCGGCAGCGACACUAUGUGUUGUUGGGUAGGGGAGCGUUCUGUAAGCCUGUGAAGGUGGCCUGUGAGGGUUGCUGGAGGUAUCAGAAGUGCGAAUGCUGACAUAAGUAACGAUAAAGCGGGUGAAAAGCCCGCUCGCCGGAAGACCAAGGGUUCCUGUCCAACGUUAAUCGGGGCAGGGUGAGUCGACCCCUAAGGCGAGGCCGAAAGGCGUAGUCGAUGGGAAACGGGUUAAUAUUCCCGUACUUGGUGUUACUGCGAAGGGGGGACGGAGAAGGCUAUGUUGGCCGGGCGACGGUUGUCCCGGUUUAAGCGUGUAGGCUGGUUUUCCAGGCAAAUCCGGAAAAUCAAGGCUGAGGCGUGAUGACGAGGCACUACGGUGCUGAAGCAACAAAUGCCCUGCUUCCAGGAAAAGCCUCUAAGCAUCAGGUAACAUCAAAUCGUACCCCAAACCGACACAGGUGGUCAGGUAGAGAAUACCAAGGCGCUUGAGAGAACUCGGGUGAAGGAACUAGGCAAAAUGGUGCCGUAACUUCGGGAGAAGGCACGCUGACAUGUAGGUGAAGUGAUUUACUCAUGGAGCUGAAGUCAGUCGAAGAUACCAGCUGGCUGCAACUGUUUAUUAAAAACACAGCACUGUGCAAACACGAAAGUGGACGUAUACGGUGUGACGCCUGCCCGGUGCCGGAAGGUUAAUUGAUGGGGUCAGCGCAAGCGAAGCUCCUGAUCGAAGCCCCGGUAAACGGCGGCCGUAACUAUAACGGUCCUAAGGUAGCGAAAUUCCUUGUCGGGUAAGUUCCGACCUGCACGAAUGGCGUAAUGAUGGCCAGGCUGUCUCCACCCGAGACUCAGUGAAAUUGAACUCGCUGUGAAGAUGCAGUGUACCCGCGGCAAGACGGAAAGACCCCGUGAACCUUUACUAUAGCUUGACACUGAACAUUGAGCCUUGAUGUGUAGGAUAGGUGGGAGGCUUUGAAGUGUGGACGCCAGUCUGCAUGGAGCCGACCUUGAAAUACCACCCUUUAAUGUUU